AUGGGAGAAAAUUAGUAAAUCUUAGUUUGCCUGUCAAUGCAUAGUGUUUUGCUGCCAUGGACGGCAGCAAAAGUCUUAAUGCCCCAUGGAAGGGGCAUUUAAGACGUACACGUCACUGCGAGAACAUUUAAAGCAGGCGGACUUAGAUUUUCUUAUUUUCGUAC
This 164-nucleotide non-coding RNA is filed under the name uncultured Roseburia sp. The record is from RNAcentral. Lineage: Bacteria; Bacillati; Bacillota; Clostridia; Lachnospirales; Lachnospiraceae.